This is a long non-coding RNA of Felis catus (domestic cat), 2208 nucleotides long. RefSeq lists it as uncharacterized. The transcript is spliced from 3 exons. Lineage: Eukaryota; Metazoa; Chordata; Mammalia; Carnivora; Felidae. The record is from RefSeq and is a predicted model, not a curated record.
UCUAGUUGUCGCGCACGCAGGCGGUAAACAACCCUCCGCGAGUAGCUGCUAAUGGCAGUGAUCAAACUCGUGCAAAUCCCUGAGCCUCCGAGACCCAGGGACCGAGCCAGGCUCCCUCUGUUUCUUCCCCCGGCCCUCACAGAAAUUCUCUAUUCCUGUCACAGUCGGGUCCACUCGCUGCUGCCGCGCGCCGGGAGCUGAGCGUCUCGGGAGAAAGUGUGGGCACCCCCUGGAAACGUGUUAACGACCAGUGCCCUCAGACCUGCCUCCUACCGCGCUUGCAGGCGCUUCCGAGCUGGCCUCAGCCUUGACAAAAGCCCGCGACUCUAAGGCACCCAGUAACUGCUACGCCUUUAAAACGAACACGAUCUUUAAUCAGAGCGCAUUUCUAGUCCACGAAACGCAGGUUGGCUAAAGAUGCGGUUUCUGGCUUUUUGAUUAGCGAUGUCCGUGAAAGCACGAAUUUGGGGGCCUGCAAAGUAUACAGCCAUGUUGAAACAAAAAACAAAACAAAACAAAAAACUCGGACUCGAUUCUCACUGAAAUACGCCAGCAUUGAGCUGUCAUGAUAUUUUCCCGUGAGAGAUGGAUCGAAAGGCGCCUCUAAGGGAAUUUCAGAAUAAUAUUGUUUCCCUUUCCUUGAGCGAGACUGAAAAACUUUAGAAAAAGAAAAGCUUGUACCUAGAACAAAGGAUCACACCGAAUACAUAUCCUAGAAUAUAGUUCACAUCCCUCGCGUCAAGAAAAGAUUUUUGCUGAAUUUCAGUCUACAAUUUGAGGCUACAAAAAUAAGAACUACUGCCUCCCUUGUUUCUGGAGAAACUGCUGGAGUGUAAGUUCAACCUCUUCAAGUCUCUCUCUUCUCUCUGGCCCUGCCCUCCCCCACCUCCUCUCUCUCAAUUUGUCUUAUACUAGUAUUGCAGCUUACUAAGUGUAGGGAUGAGUCAAUAUUACAUUAAAAUGUCAAAGGAGUGACCGCAAUUGCAAAGAGGGAUUUGGGAGCAAACAUAGGGGAGACCUACGGUAUUUCUAUCUGAAAGAAUGGAAUGUGGGUUCACCUUUGCUUUAGGGUGGAUGCUGCAAAAGGGUAUUCAUUUAUAAAAUCUAACAGUAAACCAUAUUUCUAUCUGAAAGAAUGGAAUGUGGGUUCACCUUUGCCUUAGGGUGGAUGCUGCAAAACGGUAUUCAUUUAUAAAAUCUAACAGUAAACCAGGCAAUGUAUACAUCAUAAAAAUAAGCCACAUCUCUGCCCUCUUAAGAAUUUGUUCUCUGUUAGAAGCAUAAUAAACAUAUUUAGAUGAAGGGCUACUUUUCGAUGCUCCCACUUGGGGAAAAAAUAAAUUGGUUUUGGCUGUGUCCAAAAUAUUAGAAACCUUAACCUUCCCUCUGCUGCCGCCGGUUUAUAAGCACAGCAUAUUCACAGGUGCUCGGAACAGCCGUGGUUUCUGAAACGGGCUCUCAGAGACAGAAUGAGUGUGGAUGAUCAGAGAGUCCUGACUCUGGAGCUGCUCCCUACAUGUUUCAGCUGUCUGCUCAGACAUGUAGAUGAUUCCCCACACUUACAACCAAAAUGACGAUGAAUAAAAUGAUUUGAGAUUUUUAUGGGAUAACGGCUGCCCUGUGAUUUGUGGUUGCGGCCACUGCUUGCAGAUGAUGGCUUUGGUCUCAGCUUCUUUACUUCUGUGCUACUCAGAACCUCUGCCGGAGCAAACAACCAUCAAAUGCCUAACUGCUGCACACAGAACAGUGCCUAAGGUCUCCAUGAGUGAGAGAAAGUCUUGGUGACUUCUGCCUGAUGUAACAUCUCUUCCGCCUCAAAGGAACGAUGCUCAUUUUUCCCUCUCAUUCAUCGUAGCUGAGGUAAUUUUUGCUCACACAUAUCCCUUUCACAUCUUACAGUUGUUCUCAGAAACCUCAGAAAAUGUCUGUACCCUAUAUUUUCACCUCUGUUUUUUAGUUCUAUUGGGGAACAGAGGGAAAUUCCAACCCCAAUCAUGUAGGGCGAUACAUAUAAAAUUCAUACUGGUCAUAAACAUGGAGUCAUGGUAAUCAUAAAUCUCUACCAAGGAAAAGUACUUACCACUUCUUGACACCAUUGUGUUUCUCCAUCCGACCCCCCACACUACAAUGUCAGCUCCGUGUGUUGCUGUGUGUUCUCUGUAUAUUCCCUGUGCCUAGAACAGUGCCUGACACAUAAUAAAGAUCCUC